CACGUAGGGUGCGAGCGUUGUCCGGAAUUAUUGGGCGUAAAGAGCUCGUAGGCGGUGCGUCGCGUCGGCCGUGAAAACUUGGGGCGUUAACUCUGAGCGUGCGGUCGAUACGGGCAUCACUUGAGUUCGGCAGGGGAGACUGGAAUUCCUGGUGUAGCGGUGAAAUGCGCAGAUAUCAGGAGGAACACCGGUGGCGAAGGCGGGUCUCUGGGCCGAUACUGACGCUGAGGAGCGAAAGCAUGGGGAGCGAACAGG
RNAcentral lists this ribosomal RNA (255 nucleotides) under uncultured bacterium. Its description in RNAcentral is "partial 16S ribosomal RNA". It matches the Rfam family "Bacterial small subunit ribosomal RNA", at positions 524 to 776 of the family's 1533-position model. The record is from RNAcentral.